Molecule: ribosomal RNA, 1822 nt
Filed under: human gut metagenome
Description: bacterial LSU rRNA
Rfam family: Bacterial large subunit ribosomal RNA
Source: RNAcentral
AUGCCGUAGACCCGAAACCGGGUGACCUAUCCAUGGCCAGGUUGAAGCGAGGGUAAAACCUCGUGGAGGACCGAACCACGUUGCUGUUGAAAAAGCAUGGGAUGAGCUGUGGAUAGCGGAGAAAUUCCAAUCGAACCCGGAGAUAGCUGGUUCUCUCCGAAAUAGCUUUAGGGCUAGCGUCGAGUAUGAGUAGUGGAGGUAGAGCACUGAAUGGGCUAGGGGGCAUAGCGCUUACCGAACCUUAUCAAACUCCGAAUGCCACAUACUUUGAGCUCGGCAGUCAGACUACGAAUGAUAAGAUCCGUGGUCAAAAGGGAAACAGCCCAGAUCGUCAGCUAAGGUCCCAAAGUGUAAGUUAAGUGGGAAAGGAUGUGAGAUUUCUAAGACAACUAGGAUGUUGGCUUAGAAGCAGCCAUUCAUUAAAAGAGUGCGUAAUAGCUCACUAGUCGAGAGAUCUUGCGCCGAAAAUGUAACGGGGCUAAACUUACCACCGAAGCUACGGGCUUGAACUUAGUUCAAGCGGUAGGAGAGCGUCGUAACCGGGCUGAAGUCGUACCGUAAGGAGCGGUGGACUGGUUACGAGUGAGAAUGUUGGCAUCAGUAGCGAGAUGUGGGUGAGAAUCCCACAGGCCGAAAACCUAAGGUUUCCUCAGGAAGGUUCGUCCGCUGAGGGUUAGUCGGGACCUAAGCCGAGGCCGAAAGGCGUAGGUGAUGGACAACUGGUUGAUAUUCCAGUACCACUACCAUCGUUAUUAUCGAUGGCGUGACGCAGGAGGAUAGUGUGUGCUAGCUAUUGGAUGCUAGUCUAAGCGUUUAGGCAGUGAGAGUAGGCAAAUCCGCUCUCAUAAUGCUGAGGCGUGAUGGGGAAGGUUCCACGGAACCGAAGUACAUGAUUCCACGCUGCCAAGAAAAGCGUCUAGAGAGAGAAGUAGUGCCCGUACCGCAAACCGACACAGGUAGGUGAGGAGAGAAUCCUAAGGCCGGCGGAAGAAUUACAGUUAAGGAACUCGGCAAAUUGACCCCGUAAGUUCGCGAGAAGGGGUGCCUACGAGAGUAGGCCGCAGAGAAUAGGCCCAAGCAACUGUUUAGCAAAAACACAGGUCUCUGCUAAAGCGUAAGCUGAUGUAUAGGGGCUGACGCCUGCCCGGUGCUGGAAGGUUAAGGGGAACACUUAGCGCAAGCGAAGGUGUGAACUUAAGCCCCAGUAAACGGCGGCCGUAACUAUAACGGUCCUAAGGUAGCGAAAUUCCUUGUCAGGUAAGUUCUGACCCGCACGAAUGGCGUAAUGACUUGGGCACUGUCUCAACUGUAAAUCCGGCGAAGUUGUAGUGCGAGUGAAGAUGCUCGCUACCCGCGAUUGGACGGAAAGACCCCGUAGAGCUUUACUGUAGCUUAGCAUUGAGUUUUGGUAUUGUCUGUACAGGAUAGGUGGGAGACUAGGAAACCAGGGCGUCAGCCUUGGUGGAGUCAACCUUGGGAUACCACCCUGACAGUACUGAAAUUCUAACUGGCGGCCAUGAAUCUGGUCACAGGACAUUGUUAGGUGGGCAGUUUGACUGGGGCGGUCGCCUCCUAAAAAGUAACGGAGGCGCCCAAAGGUUCCCUCAGAACGGUCGGAAAUCGUUCGAAGAGUGCAAAGGCAGAAGGGAGCCUGACUGCGACACCCACAAGUGGAGCAGGGACGAAAGUCGGGCUUAGUGAUCCGGUGGUACCUCGUGGGAGGGCCAUCGCUCAACGGAUAAAAGCUACCUCGGGGAUAACAGGCUGAUCUCCCCCAAGAGUCCACAUCGACGGGGAGGUUUGGCACCUCGAUGUCGGCUCG